Molecule: long non-coding RNA, 1296 nt
Filed under: Homo sapiens (human)
Lineage: Eukaryota; Metazoa; Chordata; Mammalia; Primates; Hominidae
Description: HSALNT0270828
Source: RNAcentral
UUCAUUAGCAUAUUAUUUGAAGAAAGGCAUUCACUUUUUCACAGGUUACUUCCUUGCUCCUGAAAAUGAUGAUGUUCUAUUUUCUACUAUUUGUGUCUAAAAAUUUAAACAGGUUAGUAUAUCCUCUGCAUAAAUGCUGCAAAAUACAAUGCACAAUAAUUUUGUUAAAAUUACUAAAUGUUAGUACAAAAUUUGAUUAGUUUUCUUAAUAAUUGUUUCCUUAUUUUUCAUAUCUAUAUAUACAAUCAUUCUAAAGUUAAGAACUGACUACUCUCUUGAUAAUGGAGAAAUCUUUCAACACACAAAAACAAAAUUUUUAUUGUCUUUCAAAUAGGUCCUGAGAAGAGGAUUAGAAAAAGGCAACACAUCAAAAAGUUAAGAGGCAGAAAUAGCUUUUAUGUUGCUGGUAAAUUUAAUGAGAUCUUAAGUUAUUAGACUGGCAAGUCUCAUCUCUUUGAGCAUCUCAGUGAAGACUGUCAGAAAUCAUCAAAAUUCAACACAACAGAGUAAAAGCUAAUAGCCUUUUUGUUAUACCAAAACUGAAAGGAUUGAUGUUCUUAAGUAACAAAAAGCAAUAAAGAUAAAAUACAGGACAUCAAAGAUAUCACAUACAUUCAUAUAUCUCAAGAAAUGAAAGCAAUGAAAGAGCUGUGGUAUGAUCCAUAUUUUUUGUUUGUUGACAACUAAUGCAAAAUUCCAAACAAUAAUGAAGCAACUACAGAUUUGGGGAAAAUAAUAAAUCAGAAAGAGCAAUUGAGAGAGCCUUUUUAGAAAAAAGUUUUCUCCUUUGGAAUUAUGUUACAUUUUGAGUAAUUAUUAUGAUAGUCAACCAUUAAUUUAUACAUUUGUUUUUAAUUUAACAUAUAUUUUGAGUAUUAAAUAUAUCAGGCACUAUUAUAGGUGCUUGUGCUAAUUAACAACCAGUUUUCUAGAAUGUGUAAAGUGCCAUAGAAAAUACCUCUUGGGUUCUAUGCUCACUACCUGGAUGAUGGGUUCAGUCAUACCCCAAACCUCAGCAUCAUGCAGUAUACUCUGUAACAAACCCUCACAUAUAUCCUCAAAUCUAAAAGUUGAAAUUUAAAAAAAUAAAAAUAAAAAGCAAAUGAUUAUAUUAAGUAUAUUAACUAAAACAAAACUAAGUGAUUCUGUUUUAGAAAAAGAAUUUAGAAAUGAAGGGGAGUGGAGACUAGAAUAACACUUAUGGUGUUCAAUCAGAAUCAAAACUAUCAAUAUAUACUUAAGUUUACUUUUUUUCUACAUUAGAUAGAAAUUGAAAAGAAUGUGUAGAUAUAUAAA